This 132-nucleotide small nuclear RNA is filed under the name Blastocystis hominis. RNAcentral's name for it is "U4 spliceosomal RNA". It matches the Rfam family "U4 spliceosomal RNA". Rfam says of the family: U4 small nuclear RNA (U4 snRNA) is a component of the major U2-dependent spliceosome. The record is from Rfam by way of RNAcentral. Lineage: Eukaryota; Bigyra; Opalinata; Blastocystidae.
GUCCUUGCGCUUGGGGCAUUACUGUGACAAAUGAGGCUAAGCCGAUGUGCAGUUAUUGCUGGUUGAAAACUAAAUCCAAGACCCCGUGAUGUUGACUUUGUCUUCAUCCAAUUUUUGACAGCCUGCAAAAGG